GUAUCUUGGCUCAGGAUGAACGCUAGCGGCAGGCUUAACACAUGCAAGUCGAGGGGCAGCGCGGGAUAGCAAUAUCCUGGCGGCGACCGGCGGAAGGGUGCGUAACGCGUGAGCGACAUGCCCGUUGCCCGGGGGACAACCGGUGGAAACGCCGACUAAUCCCCGAUGGGAUAUUGUGCCGCAUGGCACGAUAUUGAAGUUACGGCGGCGACGGAUUGGCUCGCGUCCGAUUAGCUGGUUGGCGGGG
This 247-nucleotide ribosomal RNA is filed under the name uncultured bacterium. RNAcentral describes it as "partial 16S ribosomal RNA". It matches the Rfam family "Bacterial small subunit ribosomal RNA", at positions 14 to 257 of the family's 1533-position model. The record is from RNAcentral.